ACCUGCGGCUGGAUCACCUCCUUUCCGGAGCGACUAGUAGAUCCCUGGCGGAUCGAAAGUCCAACGGAUGGUCGCCCGCCCGCACAGCUCGAUUCCAACCCGAUUGCAGUCAUCGCGGCGGCACUCUUCGGAGUGCCGCUACGCGUGCGCUGUUUGACAACGGAUAGUGGUAGUGAUUCGUGGGAUACGAAUCGUCACGAGAGAACGCAAUUAGCAGUGUAGCAUUGCCGACAUUGCAUUCACUCGAUGUACAGUAGAUCGCGCGUGCUCUGCUUGCCGCGGUGGUCGCAACAGCGGCUGUCGUAGUCAAGCGAGCGAAGGCGUGUGGGGGAUACCUAGGCACACAGAGA
RNAcentral lists this unclassified non-coding RNA (350 nucleotides) under uncultured Bacteroidota bacterium. RNAcentral's name for it is "uncultured Bacteroidetes bacterium partial contains 16S ribosomal RNA, 16S-23S ribosomal RNA intergenic spacer, and 23S ribosomal RNA". The record is from RNAcentral. Lineage: Bacteria; Pseudomonadati; Bacteroidota.